CCAAGGUGUGUUAGUGAUGACA
This 22-nucleotide microRNA is filed under the name Saccoglossus kowalevskii. RNAcentral describes it as "Sko-Mir-2011_3p (mature (guide))". RNAcentral also lists the same sequence under 2 other names. The record is from RNAcentral. Lineage: Eukaryota; Metazoa; Hemichordata; Enteropneusta; Harrimaniidae.